GAUCCUGGCUCAGGAUGAACGCUGGCGGCGUGCUUAACACAUGCAAGUCGAACGGACUUUACAUGAAGCCUAGCGAUUGUAAAGUUAGUGGCGGACGGGUGAGUAACGCGUGAAUAACCUGCCCUGUACCGGGGGACAACAGUUGGAAACGGCUGCUAAUACCGCAUAAGCGCACAGUACCGCAUGGCUCAGUGGGAAAAACUCCGGUGGUAUGAGAUGGACCCGCGUCUGAUUAGGUAGUUGGUGGGG
RNAcentral lists this ribosomal RNA (249 nucleotides) under uncultured bacterium. RNAcentral's name for it is "partial 16S ribosomal RNA". It matches the Rfam family "Bacterial small subunit ribosomal RNA", at positions 15 to 257 of the family's 1533-position model. The record is from RNAcentral.